GUGGGGAAUAUUGGACAAUGGGCGAAAGCCUGAUCCAGCCAUGCCGCGUGUGUGAAGAAGGUCUUCGGAUUGUAAAGCACUUUAAGUUGGGAGGAAGGGCAGUAAGUUAAUACCUUGCUGUUUUGACGUUACCGACAGAAUAAGCACCGACUAACUUCGUGCCAGCAGCCGCGGUAAUACGAAGGGUGCAAGCGUUAAUCGGAAUUACUGGGCGUAAAGCGCGCGUAGGUGGUUUUGUAAGUUGGAGGUGAAAUCCCCGGGCUCAACCUGGGAACUGCCUCCAAAACUGCAUGACUAGAGUACGGUAGAGGGUAGUGGAAUUUCCUGUGUAGCGGUGAAAUGCGUAGAUAUAGGAAGGAACACCAGUGGCGAAGGCGACUACCUGGACUGAUACUGACACUGAGGUGCGAAAGCGUGGGGAGCAAACAGGAUUAGAAACCCUUGUAGUCC
This 450-nucleotide ribosomal RNA is filed under the name uncultured bacterium. Its description in RNAcentral is "bacterial SSU rRNA". It matches the Rfam family "Bacterial small subunit ribosomal RNA", at positions 354 to 796 of the family's 1533-position model. The record is from RNAcentral.